Small nucleolar RNA from Sorex fumeus (smoky shrew), 223 nucleotides. RefSeq annotates it as small nucleolar RNA U3. The transcript has a single exon. NCBI's taxonomy places the organism in Eukaryota, Metazoa, Chordata, Mammalia, Eulipotyphla, Soricidae. The record is from RefSeq and is a predicted model, not a curated record.
UAGACUAAACUUUCAGGGAUUAUUUCUAUAAUUUCUACAGUUUAUUACCAGCCAAGUUUCCUUGAUUAUGUAGAGCACCUAAAACCAUGAUAAUGAGCAGGAGCAUCCCCUCCUGAGCAUGAAGCUGGUUUUAGGUGUUGCUCUUGUGACUGCCUUUUACAAUUUAUGAUCAUUCUUCUCUUUCUUUGCAAGAGGGAGAGGGAAAGGAUGUAGUCUGAGUGGU